UCCAGGGGGCCGCCUUCGCCACCGGUAUUCCUCCAGAUCUCUACGCAUUUCACCGCUACACCUGGAAUUCUACCCCCCUCUACAAGACUCUAGCCUGCCAGUUUCGAAUGCAGUUCCCAGGUUGAGCCCGGGGAUUUCACAUCCGACUUGACAGACCGCCUGCGUGCGCUUUACGCCCAGUAAUUCCGAUUAACGCUUGCACCCUCCGUAUUACCGCGGCUGCUGGCACGGAGUUAGCCGGUGCUUCUUCUGCGAGUAACGUCAAUCACCAAGGUUAUUAACCUUAAUGCCUUCCUCCUCGCUGAAAGUACUUUACAACCCGAAGGCCUUCUUCAUACACGCGGCAUGGCUGCAUCAGGCUUGCGCCCAUUGUGCAAUAUUCCCCACUGCUGCCUCCCGUAGGAGUCUGGACCGUGUCUCAGUUCCAGUGUGGCUGGUCAUCCUCUCAGACCAGCUAGGGAUCGUCGCCUAGGUGAGCCAUUACCCCACCUACUAGCUAAUCCCAUCUGGGCACAUCCGAUGGCAAGAGGCCCGAAGGUCCCCCUCUUUGGUCCGAAGACGUUAUGCGGUAUUAGCUACCGUUUCCAGUAGUUAUCCCCCUCCAUCGGGCAGUUUCCCAGACAUUACUCACCCGUCCGCCACUCGUCAGCGAAGCAGCAAGCUGCUUCCUGUUACCGUUCGACUUGCAUGUGUUAGGCCUGCCGCCAGC
This 709-nucleotide ribosomal RNA is filed under the name Kluyvera cryocrescens. RNAcentral's name for it is "partial 16S rRNA". Lineage: Bacteria; Pseudomonadati; Pseudomonadota; Gammaproteobacteria; Enterobacterales; Enterobacteriaceae. The record is from RNAcentral.